RNAcentral lists this microRNA precursor (94 nucleotides) under Branchiostoma floridae (Florida lancelet). Its description in RNAcentral is "mir-2060 microRNA precursor family". It matches the Rfam family "mir-2060 microRNA precursor family". The record is from Rfam by way of RNAcentral. Lineage: Eukaryota; Metazoa; Chordata; Leptocardii; Amphioxiformes; Branchiostomatidae.
GUUUGCCUCUGCAUGGAUGGUUUUCAGCACUUAGGACAGGUAUGUUUGCCUGUGUGUGGAUAGUGUUCAGUACCAUGAACAGGAGUGUUUAACU